AUACGGAGGGUGCAAGCGUUAAUCGGAAUUACUGGGCGUAAAGCGUACGUAGGCGGUUCGUUAAGUUAGAUGUGAAAGCCCCGGGCUUAACCUGGGAACUGCAUUUAAAACUGGCGAACUAGAGUUGAGUAGAGGGGAGUGGAAUUUCAGGUGUAGCGGUGAAAUGCGUAGAGAUCUGAAGGAACACCAGUGGCGAAGGCGGCUCCCUGGACUCAAACUGACGCUGAGGUACGAAAGCGUGGGUAGCAAACGGGAUUAGAAACCCGUGUAGUCC
RNAcentral lists this ribosomal RNA (274 nucleotides) under uncultured bacterium. RNAcentral's name for it is "partial 16S ribosomal RNA". It matches the Rfam family "Bacterial small subunit ribosomal RNA", at positions 523 to 796 of the family's 1533-position model. The record is from RNAcentral.